This 505-nucleotide ribosomal RNA is filed under the name uncultured bacterium. Its description in RNAcentral is "partial 16S ribosomal RNA". It matches the Rfam family "Bacterial small subunit ribosomal RNA", at positions 28 to 507 of the family's 1533-position model. The record is from RNAcentral.
GACGAACGCUGGCGGCGUGCCUAAUACAUGCAAGUAGAACGCACAGUUUAUACCGUAGCUUGCUACACCAUAGACUGUGAGUUGCGAACGGGUGAGUAACGCGUAGGUAACCUGCCUGGUAGCGGGGGAUAACUAUUGGAAACGAUAGCUAAUACCGCAUAAUAUUAAUUAUUGCAUGAUAAUUAAUUGAAAGGUGCAAUUGCACCACUACCAGAUGGACCUGCGUUGUAUUAGCUAGUAGGCGAGGUAACGGCUCACCUAGGCGACGAUACAUAGCCGACCUGAGAGGGUGAUCGGCCACACUGGGACUGAGACACGGCCCAGACUCCUACGGGAGGCAGCAGUAGGGAAUCUUCGGCAAUGGACGAAAGUCUGACCGAGCAACGCCGCGGGAGUGAAGAAGGUUUUCGGAUCGUAAAGCUCUGUUGUAAGAGAAGAACGGGUGUGAGAGUGGAAAGUUCACACUGUGACGGUAUCUUACCAGAAAGGGACGGCUAACUACGUG